UACGUAGGUGGCAAGCGUUGUCCGGAUUUACUGGGUGUAAAGGGUGCGCAGGCGGGAUUGCAAGUUGGAUGUGAAAUACCGGGGCUUAACCCCGGGGCUGCAUCCAAAACUGUAGUUCUUGAGUGAAGUAGAGGUAGGCGGAAUUCCGAGUGUAGCGGUGAAAUGCGUAGAUAUCCGGAGGAACACCAGUGGCGAAGGCGGCCUACUGGGCUUUAACUGACGCUGAGGCACGAAAGCAUGGGGAGCAAAC
RNAcentral lists this ribosomal RNA (250 nucleotides) under uncultured prokaryote. RNAcentral describes it as "partial 16S ribosomal RNA". It matches the Rfam family "Bacterial small subunit ribosomal RNA", at positions 524 to 773 of the family's 1533-position model. The record is from RNAcentral.